GAUGAACGCUAGCGGGAGGCUUAACACAUGCAAGUCGAGGGGCAGCAUAGGGUAGCAAUACUCUGAUGGCGACCGGCAAACGGGUGAGUAACGCGUAUGCAACCUACCCUGUACAGGGGGAUAACCCGGAGAAAUUCGGACUAAUAUCCCGUAAUAAUAUCCGGAGGCAUCUUUGGAUAUUUAAAGUUCCGACGGUACGGGAUGGGCAUGCGUAACAUUAACUGGUUGGUAAGGUAACGGCUUACCAAGGCUAUGAUGUUUAGGGGUCCUGAGAGGGUGGUCCCCCACACUGGUACUGAGACACGGACCAGACUCCUACGGGAGGCAGCAGUGAGGAAUAUUGGUCAAUGGGCGCAAGCCUGAACCAGCCAUCCCGCGUGCAGGAAGACGGCCCUAUGGGCUGUAAACUGCUUUUCCAGGGAGAGAAACUUACGCACGUGUUGCGUGACUGACGGUACCCUGGGAAUAAGCAUCGGCUAACUCCGUGCCAGCAGCCGCGGUAAUCACGAG
This 510-nucleotide ribosomal RNA is filed under the name uncultured bacterium. RNAcentral describes it as "bacterial SSU rRNA". It matches the Rfam family "Bacterial small subunit ribosomal RNA", at positions 28 to 529 of the family's 1533-position model. The record is from RNAcentral.